GACAGAGGGUGCAAGCGUUAAUCGGAAUUACUGGGCGUAAAGCGUGCGUAGACGGUUAUGUAAGUCGGGUGUGAAAGCCCCGGGCUCAACCUGGGAAUGCCAUUCGAGACUGCAUAGCUAGGGUGCGGAAGAGGGAAGCGGAAUUUCCGGUGUAGCGGUGAAAUGCGUAGAUAUCGGAAGGAACACCAGUGGCGAAAGCGGCUUCCUGGUCCAGCACCGACGUUCAGGCACGAAAGCGUGGGGAGCAAACAGG
This 253-nucleotide ribosomal RNA is filed under the name uncultured bacterium. Its description in RNAcentral is "partial 16S ribosomal RNA". It matches the Rfam family "Bacterial small subunit ribosomal RNA", at positions 524 to 776 of the family's 1533-position model. The record is from RNAcentral.